GCACACAGUGGGAGCUCUAUCCAUGCACACAGUGGAGGCUCAUGUCCAUGCACACAGUGGAGGCUCAUGUCCAUGCACACAGUGGGAGCUCUAUCUGUGCACACAGUGGGAGCUCUAUCCAUGCACACAGGGGGAGUUCUAUCCAUGCACACAGUGGAAGCUCAUACCCAUGCACACAGUGGGAGCUCAUACCCAUGCACCCAGUGGGAGCUCAUAUCCAUGCACACGGUGGGAACUGAUAUCCAUGCACAUAAAGCUGAUGAUAUCCAUGCACAAAGUAAGAGCUCAUAUCCAUGCACAGAGUGAGAGCUCAUUAUGUGCUUAUACCUACAUAAUCAAGCCAUAUUCAUGCACACAGUGGAAGCUCAUAUCCAUGCACAUAAUGGGAGCUCACAUCCACACACACAGUGGGAACUCAUGUCCAUGCACACAGUGGCAACUGAUAUCCAUGCACACAGAGCUGAUGAUAUCCAUGCACAUAAUGGGAGCUUAUAUCCAUGCACAGAGUGAGAGCUCAUUAUGUGAGAGCUUAUACCUACAUAAUCAAGCUCAUAUCCAUGUACAGAGUGGAAGCUCAUAUCCAUGCAUAUAAUGGGAGCUCAUACCUCUGCACACAGUGGCAGCUCAGUGAGACAUCCACACACACAGUGGGAGCUCAUAUCCAUGCACACAGUGUGAGCUCAUAUCCAUGCACACAGUGGGAGCUCUAUCCACACACACAGUGGCAGCUCAUAUCCACACACACAGUGGGAGCUCACAUCCAUGCACACAGUGGGAGCUCUAUCCAUGCACACAGUGGCAGCUCAUAUCCAUGCACACACUGGGAGCUCUAUCCAUGCACACAGGGUGAGCUCUAUUCACACACACAGUGGGAGCUCAUAUCUAUGAACACAAUGGGAGCUCACAUCCAUGCACACAGUAGAAGCUCAUAUCUAUGCACACAGUGGGAGCUCUAUCCACAGACACAGUGGGAGCUCUAUCCAUGCACACAGUGGGAGCUCUAUCCAUGCACACAUGGGAGCUCUAUCCAUACACACGGUGGGAGCUCUAUCCACGCACACGGUGGGAGCUCUAUCCACGCACACAGUGGGAGCUCUAUCCAUGCACACGGUGGGAGCUCUAUCCAUGCACACGGUGGGAGCUCUAUCCAUGCACACAGUGGGAGCUCUAUCCACACACACAGUGGGAGCUCUAUCCAUGCACAUGGUGGGAGCUCUAUCCAUGCACACGGUGGGAGCUCUAUCCACACACA
Molecule: long non-coding RNA, 1252 nt
Filed under: Macaca mulatta (Rhesus monkey)
Lineage: Eukaryota; Metazoa; Chordata; Mammalia; Primates; Cercopithecidae
Description: lncRNA (ENSMMUG00000058632.1)
Source: RNAcentral